CCUACGGGGUGCAGCAGUGGGGAAUAUUGGACAAUGGGCGAAAGCCUGAUCCAGCCAUGCCGCGUGUGUGAAGAAGGCCUUCGGGUCGUAAAGCACUUUCAGUGGGGAAGAAAGCCUUGGGGCUAAUACCCUCGAGGAAGGACAUCACCCACAGAAGAAGCACCGGCUAACUCCGUGCCAGCAGCCGCGGUAAUACGGAGGGUGCGAGCGUUAAUCGGAAUUACUGGGCGUAAAGCGCGCGUAGGCGGUCUGAUAAGCCGGUUGUGAAAGCCCCGGGCUCAACCUGGGAACGGCAUCCGGAACUGUCAGGCUAGAGUGCAGGAGAGGAAGGUAGAAUUCCCGGUGUAGCGGUGAAAUGCGUAGAGAUCGGGAGGAAUACCAGUGGCGAAGGCGGUCUUCUGGACUGACACUGACGCUGAGGUGCGAAAGCGUGGGUAGCAAACAGGAUUAGAUACCCCGGUAGUC
This 465-nucleotide ribosomal RNA is filed under the name Vreelandella stevensii. RNAcentral's name for it is "partial 16S ribosomal RNA". It matches the Rfam family "Bacterial small subunit ribosomal RNA", at positions 338 to 795 of the family's 1533-position model. Lineage: Bacteria; Pseudomonadati; Pseudomonadota; Gammaproteobacteria; Oceanospirillales; Halomonadaceae. The record is from RNAcentral.